RNAcentral lists this ribosomal RNA (466 nucleotides) under uncultured bacterium. RNAcentral's name for it is "bacterial SSU rRNA". It matches the Rfam family "Bacterial small subunit ribosomal RNA", at positions 28 to 489 of the family's 1533-position model. The record is from RNAcentral.
GACGAACGCUGGCGGCGUGCUUAACACAUGCAAGUCGAGCGGUAAGGCCCUUUCGGGGGUACACGAGCGGCGAACGGGUGAGUAACACGUGGGUGACCUGCCCUCAGCUCUGGGAUAAGCCUGGGAAACCGGGUCUAAUACUGGAUAUGACUCCAUGACGCAUGUUGUGGGGUGGAAAGCCUUGUGCGGCUGAGGAUGGGCCCGCGGCCUAUCAGCUUGUUGGUGGGGUGANGGCCUACCAAGGCGACGACGGGUAGCUGGUCUGAGAGGACGAUCAGCCACACUGGCACUGCGACACGGGCCAGACUCCUACGGGAGGCAGCAGUGAGGAAUAUUGCGCAAUGGGCGAAAGCCUGACGACGCAACGCCGCGUGGAGGAUGAAGGUCUUCGGAUUGUAAACUCCUGUUGCUCGGGACGAAAUGCUCCAGCCUAACACGUUGGAGUUUGACGGUACCGGGUGAGGAA